GUCCUAGCCGUAAACGGUGAUCACUAGGUGUUGGAGGCAUCGACCCCUCCAGUGCCGCAGCUAACGCAUUAAGUGAUCCGCCUGGGGAGUACGGCCGCAAGGUUGAAACUCAAAGGAAUUGACUGGGGCCCCGCACAAGCGGUGGAGCAUGUUGUUUAAUUCGACGCAACGCGAAUAACCUUACCCAGACUUGACAUGCAUUGGACUGGUGUGGAAACACACCUUCCCUUCGGGGCCGAUGCACAGGUGCUGCAUGGCUGUCGU
RNAcentral lists this ribosomal RNA (264 nucleotides) under uncultured bacterium. RNAcentral's name for it is "partial 16S ribosomal RNA". It matches the Rfam family "Bacterial small subunit ribosomal RNA", at positions 793 to 1055 of the family's 1533-position model. The record is from RNAcentral.